This 1855-nucleotide long non-coding RNA is filed under the name Homo sapiens (human). RNAcentral's name for it is "HSALNT0221707". The record is from RNAcentral. Lineage: Eukaryota; Metazoa; Chordata; Mammalia; Primates; Hominidae.
AAAAAUUAGCCAGGCACGAUGGCAGGAGCCUGUAAUACCAGCUACUUGGGAGUCUGAGGCAGGAGGGUCACUUGAACCCAGGAGGCAGAGGUUGCAGUGAGCAGAGAUCACGCCGCUGCACUCCAACCUGGUGACAGAGCGAGACUCCAUCUCUAAAUAAAUAAAUAAAGUGGGAAUAAAAUGGUAAAUAUUGAACAGAGUAGAAUAGAUGUUUGAGUGUGGGUGUAUGGGAGAAUAGAGGAUAAGGCUAAAGAGGGAAAAUAAAUAAGUGCAUUCAGGUGUGUAUGACUGAUGUGUGUAACUGAGGAGUGUGGCUAACUUUACCCUACUGCUCUAACGUAGUGUUCAACAUACAUUAGUCAAUAGACCAAUUGCUCUCUAGUUUGUUCGAAAGAUAGAACCUUUGGCUUCCAGCACUGUUCAGUUCGGUGGUCAUGAUAUCUUACAUGUGGAGAACUUAGUCAAAAUUAUUAAAAAUUCCUGUCUCACAGCAACCCCUAAAACAUGCAGGCUUAGGCGUUGCCCUAUCUGACAGCUUAGGGAACAGAGGGCAGGAGAUUAACACCAUUUGUGGGGCUGCCCUAUGCCAGGACUGGGCUUGGGACUUCAAGGAUGUGGUCAUGUUUAAAGUUCUCAGUGUCUACAAGAUGAUUGUUGCAUUGCUGCUUUAUGGAGGAGGGACCAGAGAGGCAGGCAGUUCAGCUGUUGUUGGCCCAAGCUUGACUGGCCGUGGAAUACCAGCCCCUUACUGCUAGCCCAGCGUGGGUCCCUAUGUCCCCAAAGCCCACAGCAGAAUUUCUGGCGUGGAUUACAGAGUGUCCUUGGGAGAAUGACUAUGACAGAAGGAGCUGGAUACAGGUACUGUCCAAGGAAAGUAUUGAGAGAGAGCAGGUCUGACUCAGAAAGAUUUGGGGCAGGGGGUUGGACUUGGGGCUGUGUGCAGACCGAGGCAUGGGGCCAAGGCUGAGCUGGGAGCAUGGGACAGGGCUGUGGGCGGGCACUUGGAGCCCAGGGCAGGGUUCACAGAGCUAUUUUCAGUUCUCUUGCAGGAUCUCCUUCCCAGCCUUCAGAAAUUGCCGGUCUGGGAGUUGGGGGCAAGGAGAAGAUCCUGAAUUAGACCUUUACGAGAAGCACAGUUUUGUCUUCAGUUUCCUCUCCCCCCACCCGGAAUGGCCUGAGCCGAAGCCAGCUCCCUCCGAGAAGUCAUUACCGCCUGACUUGCGUUUGAUAUUUAGACACCUUGGUCACAACAUCUUGCAUUCUCUCGGGAUGCUGAUUUCUAACUGCUCUUUGGCCUUUCCUGCAUUGGUCCUCCUCAGGCAGGGGAUCCCUGCUCUUCUAUAUUAAUGCUGGCUCCCCGUCCCCUGUCCACCAUGAGUCAAAGCAAUGUGAGUCCCUCACCAGAUGCAACUGCCCAGUCUUGGACUUUCCAGUGACCAGAAUCAUGAGCCAAAUAAACCUCUUUUCUUUAUGAAUUACCCAGCCUCAAGUAUUCUGUUAUAGCAAAACAAAACAGACAAAGACAGUUUACCUACUUACUUACUAACUCAGGAAAUAUUUUUGAGCAUCUAUUAUGUGGAUUACACCACAAAAGGAUGAACAAUGCAGACAUCAUCUUUGCUGUAAAAGAGCUCAUGGGCCAGCAGUCAAGAUAGAUAUUGAACAAGUGAAAGUCUGGUUAGAUGCACAACUUAAUGUCUGAAAUUCUCCAAUGGAUCUCCUGAAUGUGUUCUAUUUCGUAAAGGACUUGUUAGGAAUGCCUUCAUUUAACCUCUGGGCUUAGCCGCAUCCACUGGAUUUGUCCAUCUGUUGGGUGAGAUUGACUUUCUGUGGCUUGGUAAUCCUUGGGUUCCAG